AAACUAGAGAGCGAACGACAAAGAGAAAUCUAGUCAAAAAUAGAAAGUGGAGAGUGGAAAAAACUGAGAUGACAAUCACGCAUCUACUUCUAUCAGACCCGUACUCUCCACUGAUCUUCAUGGAUCAAUUUGGUGUUGUAUCUCAACAAAAAGGUUAUCAUCCUCUGUUGCCAUUCGUUCAACAAAAAUGGGCAAAAGAUAAGGAAACUCUUCCCCUUUUCAUGCUUUGUUUAUUUCAUUUAUGCAACUUCAUACACACAAGGUCAAAGAGUUCACAAAUCACAAUGAUUGAGGCAUGUAAUUGCGUUACAAUGAAUAUCAUAAUUUAAUGCUUCAUCUAGAUGCCAAACUUAGGAUUUAAUGUCAAAAUCAAAGUUUGAGAGGGAAUUUGCAGCUUGAAAGUGGAUGGAUUAAUUGCAUUUUGU
This is a long non-coding RNA of Quercus robur (English oak), 425 nucleotides long. RefSeq lists it as uncharacterized. The record is from RefSeq and is a predicted model, not a curated record. The transcript has 4 exons. NCBI's taxonomy places the organism in Eukaryota, Viridiplantae, Streptophyta, Magnoliopsida, Fagales, Fagaceae.